UGGGGAAUAUUGGACAAUGGGCGCAAGCCUGAUCCAGCCAUGCCGCGUGAGUGAAGAAGGCCCUAGGGUUGUAAAGCUCUUUCAACGGUGAAGAUGAUGACAGUAGCCGUAGAAGAAGCCCCGGCUAACUCCGUGCCAGCAGCCGCGGUAAUACGGAGGGGGCAAGCGUUGUUCGGAAUUACUGGGCGUAAAGGGCGCGUAGGCGGUCUGUUGCGUCAGGUGUGAAAGCCCCGGGCUCAACCUGGGAGGUGCACUUGAUACGGGCGGACUGGAAUCCGAGAGAGGAUGGUGGAAUUCCCAGUGUAGAGGUGAAAUUCGUAGAUAUUGGGAAGAACACCGAUGGCGAAGGCAGCCAUCUGGCUCGGUAUUGACGCUGAGGCGCGAAAGCGUGGGGAGCAAAACAGGAUUAGAUACCCUGGUAGUCCACGCCGUAAACGAUGUGUGCUAGCCGUCGGUCAGCUUGCUGUUCGGUGGCGCCGCUAACGCAUUAAGCACACCGCCUGGGAGUACGGCCGCAAGGUUAAAACUCAAAUGAAUUGA
Molecule: ribosomal RNA, 540 nt
Filed under: uncultured bacterium
Lineage: Bacteria
Description: bacterial SSU rRNA
Rfam family: Bacterial small subunit ribosomal RNA
Source: RNAcentral